GGCAGUGGGGGCAGCUACACAUGCAGUCGAGCGCGAAAGUUCCUUCGGGAGCGAGUAGAGCGGCGGACGGGUGAGUAACGCGUGGGAAAUUGCCCAGUAGUGGGGGACAACAACCGGAAACGGUUGCUAAUACCGCAUACGCCCUACGGGGGAAAGCGGGGGAUCUUCGGACCUCGUGCUAUUGGAUAUGCCCGCGUCGGAUUAGCUUGUUGGUGAGGUAACGGCUCACCAAGGCGACGAUCCGUAGCUGGUCUGAGAGGAUGAUCAGCCACACUGGGACUGAGACACGGCCCAGACUCCUACGGGAGGCAGCAGUGGGGAAUAUUGCACAAUGGGCGCAAGCCUGAUGCAGCCAUGCCGCGUGUGUGAAGAAGGCCUUCGGGUUGUAAAGCACUUUCAGUAGGGAGGAAGGCCCUAAAGUUAAUACCUUUGGGGAUUGACGUUACCUACAGAAGAAGCACCGGCUAACUCCGUGCCAGCAGCCGCGGUAAU
RNAcentral lists this ribosomal RNA (492 nucleotides) under Microbulbifer maritimus. RNAcentral describes it as "bacterial SSU rRNA". It matches the Rfam family "Bacterial small subunit ribosomal RNA", at positions 37 to 524 of the family's 1533-position model. The record is from RNAcentral. Lineage: Bacteria; Pseudomonadati; Pseudomonadota; Gammaproteobacteria; Cellvibrionales; Microbulbiferaceae.